GAUGAACGCUGGCGGCGUGCCUAAUACAUGCAAGUCGAGCGAACAGACGAGGAGCUUGCUCCUCUGACGUUAGCGGCGGACGGGUGAGUAACACGUGGAUAACCUACCUAUAAGACUGGGAUAACUUCGGGAAACCGGAGCUAAUACCGGAUAAUAUAUUGAACCGCAUGGUCCAAUAGUGAAAGACGGUUUUGCUGUCACUUAUAGCUGGAUCCGCGCCGCAUUAGCUAGUUGGUAAGGUAACGGCUUACCAAGGCGACGAUGCGUAGCCGACCUGAGAGGGUGAUCGGCCACACUGGAACUGAGACACGGUCCAGACUCCUACGGGAGGCAGCAGUAGGGAAUCUUCCGCAAAAGGCGAAAGCCUGACGGAGCAACGCCGCGUGAGUGAUGAAGGUCUUCGGAUCGUAAAACUCUGUUAUUAGGUAAGAACAAAUGUGUAAGUAACUAUGCACGUCUUGACGGUACCUAAUCAGAAAGCCACGGCUAACUACGUG
RNAcentral lists this ribosomal RNA (497 nucleotides) under uncultured bacterium. Its description in RNAcentral is "partial 16S ribosomal RNA". It matches the Rfam family "Bacterial small subunit ribosomal RNA", at positions 28 to 507 of the family's 1533-position model. The record is from RNAcentral.